GUGCAGCAGGCGCGAAACCUCCGCAAUACGGGAAACCGUGACGGGGUCAUCCUGAGUGCUACCCGCAGAGGGUAGCUUUUCCCUGGUCUAAAAGCCAGGGGAAUAAGCGGGGGCAAGACUGGUGUCAGCCGCCGCGGUAAUACCAGCCCCGCGAGUGAUCGGGACGAUUAUUGGGCCUAAAGCAUCCGUAGCCGGCCCAACAAGUCUUCUCUGAAAUCCUACGGCCA
Molecule: ribosomal RNA, 227 nt
Filed under: uncultured microorganism
Description: partial 16S ribosomal RNA
Rfam family: Archaeal small subunit ribosomal RNA
Source: RNAcentral